GUCUUCCUGGCAAAAAAUGGCAUAAAAACUGAGUUGCUAGCUCAAAUUCCUGGGUUUCAUGGAAUUAUGAUUGAGGCACUACCCUGGUAGUGGCCGUUUCAAGUUUUAAUGAUUGGUUAUGAGACAUGUGCUGGAUACUGGGCGAGCAAUACUUCAAAUCACCUGCAGUGACCCUAAACGAGCGGUUCACUUCAUACCAGAAAGCUACUGAAGAGCAUAGUACCCGGCAAAAGAGCCCUGAGAUACACAGGAGGAUUGACAUCUCUCCAAGCGCUCUGAGGAAGCAUACCCGUUUAGCAGGAGACGAGAGAGUUUUUAAAGAAGAAAUUCAAAAGGGAGAUAAAAAAUUAAGGUGUGAUUCGGCUGAUCUUCGGCAUGACAUUGACCGUCGCCGCAAAGAAAGAAGUAAAGAGCGGGGAGAUUCCAAGGGUUCGAGGGAAUCUAGUGGAUCAAGAAAGCAAGAGAAAACACCAAAGGAUUACAAGGAGUACAAACCUUACAGAGAUGACAGGUGACUGUUAAAGUUGUCUUGACUUAGGCUCUAGCUUCUAAUUAGCCUUUAAUAAUUGUCAGCUUAAUUGCUUUCAAUUUUGACUGUAAUCAAAUGUUUAAAUUUAAACAAUUAAAAUUAUUUGUUUUACAGCAAAAAUGUAUUUGUCUUUUACACGGCUUAUGGUGGAUGAGGACAAAAACUUUGGAAUAGCAAGCUAACACUGAAAAAAAAAAUGACAAAUUAAUGUGUCCUAUUAUCCAGGCUACAUCAGGAGGUUGGACUUCAAUGCAGUGCAUUUCUAGAAACAGUUUGUGUAAGAACUUUGGUUCGUUAUGCUUGAUUCCGCACUUUUUCAACUCAUAACACCCAGAGUACAAGACUGUUAAAGUGUUAUCUAGUGGUUUAACAUGGGAAGAUGGGGGGAGGAAAGCCCAGGAAGCAGGAUUUUGUGCAUUAGUCUUUGAGAAUUGUAUCUCCCUGGAUACUGUUAGCAGUGGUAAGAGCUACUGCAGGUGCGACUUUUUCGGGUGUUCGUUAGAGUCAUGUAAAAUUAUCUUUACAGAGUCAAUAAGUAGAAUAAAAUGUAUUAUAGAGAAGUUUUUUCUUGAUGUUCAUUAGGUAAAUGGUGGAUUUUUACUUGUGCUUUUAAAUUUAUGACUUACUUAUAAUUGUACAUGCCUUUUAUUUCUAUCAUAAUAUUGUAGCCCAAACCAAGCAGACUGUUCUCCCUUAGGGCGUAUGUAAUAAGCUGCAGUCUUUUUAAAACUUGGACUCGAGUUCCGACUGGGGCUGUAGCUCAGUUGUACCUGCUCACCUAGCGUGUGGCGGGCCCUGGAGUCAAUCCCCAGGUACCACAACAGAACCAAACCAUUCUUGCCUUUCCUGUUAUUAAAAUAACAAAAAGUUACAAGUUAAAAUAAUGGACUGAACAUUAUUGAAGUUUGCAAACUACCAGUUUGUAGCUGGUAGGCUGUAGUAUUAUGUAAAACAAUCAAUGAAGACAAUUGGAAACAGACUGUCAGAAUUUAUACCUAAUUUUACUUAUAAUAAUUUUAAGCGGGUACUUUUCUUUUUUUAACUUAAAAACAUUUCCUCGUAAGAUUUUAAAUAAUUCUUUAUCUUAAAAAAAAUAGCACAUGUCUUUUAUUUUUCAGCAAACAUAAAGGGAGAGAGCAAGAUCAUUCUCGGUCAUCGUCCUCUUCAGCAUCGCCUUCGUCACCCAGCUCCCGAGAAGAGAAAGAGAGUAAGAAAGAAAGAGAAGACGAGUUUAAAUCUCACCAUGAGAUGAAAGACUACUCAGGAUUUGCAGGAGUUAGCAGGCCACGAGGAACCUUUUUUCGGAUCAGAGGCAGAGGAAGAGCCCGAGGCGUUUUUGCUGGGACAAACCCUGGUCCAAACAACUCAAACUCCACUUUCCAAAAGAGACCGAAGGAAGAGGAGUGGGAUCCAGAGUAUACCCCAAAGAGCAAGAAGUACUUCUUGCACGAUGACAGAGAUGAUGGUGUGGAUUAUUGGGCCAAAAGAGGAAGAGGUCGUGGUACUUUUCAACGCGGCAGAGGGCGCUUUAAUUUCAAAAAAUCAGGUAGCAGUCCAAAAUGGACUCAUGACAAAUACCAAGGAGAUGGGAUUGUUGAGGAUGAAGAGGAGACCAUGGAAAAUAAUGAAGAGAAGAAGGAUAGGCGCAAAGAAGAAAAGGAAUAGUCUCAAGAUUGCAUCAGGGAGCAGAACUUGACACUUAAUUUUUUUAAACCUGAUUUUUGUUUUCAAAUAAGAAUGUAAGCAUUUUACUUAAAAUGUACUGUUUGCAAGUAGUCUAUAGAAAUUUUGUUUUAAGUCUUCAAAUAUCUUGAAAAUAGUAGACUGUAUGUUGAAAAUUGUACUGAAAUAAAGUAGAAGACGUUCAAUAUCAUAUUUGUAACGAUCAACUUUUAAGCCCUUUGACUGUUUUUGUUACAUGCCUUGUAUUUCUGCUUUGUCUAUAAGAAGUGGUCAAGUACAGUUCUGUGACAGCUCUUAGGAGCCUCCCUGUUAAUGUUUGACCCUGAAGUGAACGUUAGCUCUACACAGAUCCACACAGAUCCUCAGACAGGAGUUGUUCAUAGUGACCACACUAAUCGUUUUAACUGUACACAUCAGUUAACAUCUUUGAAAAUUUGAACACUACAUAGUAGGGUGACUAAUUUUUGAAGAAUGUCACAAAGUUACUAUUAUGGUAAACUCGUUUCACACUUCAACAAAUAUAUAAGGAGGACAGUAGCUUUGUUAAUAGCCAAAAAGUACAAAUUUAAAGUUAGAUUUGAGAAAGUGGUAUUUUUACUGAAAGCAAACAAAGGCCUGUAAAAUAAUUUGAAGAGACUUUCCAGUAUGAGUUCAAAAUUGAAUAUUCUCUUCCAUUCUCAUUUGAUAGUUUGAGUCAUGGUCUUAGAUACCAGCUACCUACGAGAGAGAGAAAUUGGUUUGUAAUAUCAGAUGUAAGUAAAUUCCUAAUUCCAUAGACCUGAUUGUAUUAAAAACAAAACACAGCCAAAACCCCACAAGACCACGACAGAGUUUGGGAGUCCUUCUCCCGUGGAGGAAGGUUAGCCUGCAGCGUAACGUGAUGCACGUGGUCAUCCAGUCCCUGACUGGAGAGCUCACUGUUAGUGGAUGCUUGAACAGCUGUAGACCAGUCCGUAAUUUACAAAAGACUCGAGAAAUGCAACGGGUUGUUUAGUCGUGUUUAAGUAAUUUGUUUUCUCUCUGUGUUGCUAAUAGAAGAUUUUAGCAGGAAGCUUGUAUUAUUGAUCUAAUUUCAAUUUAAGUUUAUAAAAUGGCCUUUUUUGGGGGAGUCUAUUCUUGAGGUAAAUAAUCUCUCCGCUAUUUAACAGCUCUUGAAGGAAUAAAGUAACCUUCAGGGCUAAAAACUAAUUUUUAAGCAAAGGUAAGAUUAGCUACAUUGCAGCGAUUAGUCAUGUAUUUUGCAUUUAAAGAAGACAGUGCUUAUUCUGUUACUGUAAACUUUUCAUGUUUUGAUGAUUAUACAGUGUCUUUGAACUGCUAAAACCUUUUGGCAGCAAAGUUAAACUAAAGCCAAAGUCACCUGUGAAGUGUUUACCCUGCUACGGUCCUCAGGAGUAGUCAGUUUAUGGGAUGCUCCCACUCGUCCUCACCAUGGAAUCAUUCAGUAAAUCAGAAAAUACCUGCAAAGCAACUUUAUUGCUUCAACCUGGACAUAAAUAGUUAUUUAUAAUAACUAUUAUAAUAGUUCAGAUUAACUUAAAUGCAAAAACAAUGUGUUUAAUCCCCUAAUAGUUUUCCUACCAUUUCUAUUUUCCAUGAAUAUACAACUUUUAUUUUAGCAGUUACUUGGUUAUACACUGAAUUUUCACGUUGGUACCUGUUCAGGUUUACUCUUUCCACAACAGAGAAAAGUAGAUUGCUGGAACUUACUUAAUAGGGAGUACCAGGCUGUAUUUAAGUGUACCUGAGGUUUCUUCCAUUUUGUUAGUCCCACUGCAUCCUAGUAAAGGGGUUGUUAGAAGAACUGCAGUAGAACACCACUGUGAAUAUUCUCCUUCUCACAGCCAGACACAAAGUAGCCUGUAUGUAUUCUUUGAGAUCACCAUUUAGUUACAUGCUUCAUGACAUGUUACAAAAGCUGCACAGAGCCUCUUGGUAAAGCUGUUUGCAUACAAGUGCCAGGAAAAAAACUGUUAGACAAUUAAUACCAUAUGUUACACGCUGCAUACGAUGUGAUAUACGCUGCAUACAUAUACUUCCUUUACCCAGAGAAAAGAAAUAAAAAGGAACCAAAGGAUUUUUCCAGAAAAAAAAAAUAAGAAAACAGUUUUAGAAGGCCAUGACUCAAUUCUUAGGUUUGUAUGCUUCAACAUCUUAGGAAUUUUAAUAUAAAAAGCAAAGUCUUUCCCAGUUGCACUCUAUUUCAAAGAAUUGUUAUUGUUCCCUUUCGUCACAGUUAAAAUCAGUGUUGGGAAUUAAAUUAUAAUUUGAGGGGAAAAUAUCCAAUGAGAAUGAAUGUAGAUGGCUAAACGAUUCUUCCUCAGUGUGGUGUAUAUUUCAACAGGGACCCUUGUAAAUUGUCAUAUGCCAAUAAAAUGUCCUAAGUGGUAA
RNAcentral lists this long non-coding RNA (4603 nucleotides) under Rattus norvegicus (Norway rat). RNAcentral's name for it is "long non-coding RNA NONRATT000053". Lineage: Eukaryota; Metazoa; Chordata; Mammalia; Rodentia; Muridae. The record is from RNAcentral.